This 254-nucleotide ribosomal RNA is filed under the name uncultured bacterium. RNAcentral describes it as "partial 16S ribosomal RNA". It matches the Rfam family "Bacterial small subunit ribosomal RNA", at positions 1247 to 1500 of the family's 1533-position model. The record is from RNAcentral.
UCACAAGACCGCGAGGUUUAGCAAAUCUCUUAAAGCCGUUCUCAGUUCGGAUUGUAGGCUGCAACUCGCCUACAUGAAGUCGGAAUCGCUAGUAAUCGCGGAUCAGCAUGCCGCGGUGAAUACGUUCCCGGGCCUUGUACACACCGCCCGUCACACCAUGAGAGUUUGUAACACCCAAAGCCGGUGGGGUAACCUUUUGGAGCCAGCCGUCUAAGGUGGGACAGAUGAUUGGGGUGAAGUCGUAACAAGGUAUC